Molecule: small nucleolar RNA, 146 nt
Organism: Fukomys damarensis (Damara mole-rat)
Lineage: Eukaryota; Metazoa; Chordata; Mammalia; Rodentia; Bathyergidae
Source: Ensembl
AUUUAAUGAAGAGAUGAUGACGAGUCUGACGUGGAAGUCUUAUCUUUGCCCAUGUGGCCUUACUCUGUACCGUGUUCUGUGACACAGGCUGAGUCCUGGUGGAAGAAACUUCCUAAAGAUGACUCAGAGGCAUGUGUCUGAAAAGG